Molecule: ribosomal RNA, 253 nt
Filed under: uncultured bacterium
Lineage: Bacteria
Description: partial 16S ribosomal RNA
Rfam family: Bacterial small subunit ribosomal RNA
Source: RNAcentral
UACGUAGGGACCGAGCGUUGUCCGGAAUCAUUUGGCGUAAAGAGCGUGUAGGCGGCUAUUUAAGUCCUGCGUGAAAUCCUGCGGCUCAACCGCAGACGGUCGUGGGAAACUGGAUGGCUAGAGUGCGGGAGAGGAGAGUGGAAUUCCCGGUGUAGCGGUGAAAUGCGCAGAUAUCGGGAAGAACACCCGUGGCGAAGGCGGCUCUCUGGAACGCAACUGACGCUGAGACGCGAAAGCGUGGGGAGCAAACAGG